AGUCUUUAAUGAUGGUAUUUAAUUGAAAUUGAAUAAUUUAAUACUGUUAUUUAAGAUUUC
This 60-nucleotide microRNA precursor is filed under the name Gyrodactylus salaris (gyrodactylosis fluke). RNAcentral's name for it is "microRNA gsa-mir-8 precursor". Its record names the gene gsa-mir-8. Lineage: Eukaryota; Metazoa; Platyhelminthes; Monogenea; Gyrodactylidea; Gyrodactylidae. The record is from miRBase by way of RNAcentral.